RNAcentral lists this ribosomal RNA (228 nucleotides) under Prosthecochloris sp. JAGS121. Its description in RNAcentral is "partial 16S ribosomal RNA". The record is from RNAcentral. Lineage: Bacteria; Pseudomonadati; Chlorobiota; Chlorobiia; Chlorobiales; Chlorobiaceae.
UAGGGCUCUGACGGCAUACCCCGAGAAUCGGGGACAAUACCGGAUGAUGCAGCGGAACCGCAUGGUUAUGAAGUUAAAUCAGGAAUGGCCUGUAGAUAAGCCUAUAUUCCUCAGGUAGUUGGCGGGGUAAAUGCCACCAUGCAUACGAUGGAUAGGUGGAUGAGAGUGAGUUCCGCCCAUUUUCCUCACUAACAAUUACUCACUACCCCUCUCUAUUAAAAUAUUUCA